UGAGCAAUCUGCCCUUCUCUUUGGAAUAAGCGUUGGAAACGACGUCUAAUGCCGAAUACGACCUCCUUUCGCAUGAUCGGAGGUGGAAAGCUCCGGCGGAGAAGGAUGAGCUCGCGGCCUAUCAGCUAGUUGGUGUGGGUAAUGGCCCACCAAGGCGACGACGGGUAGCCGGCCUGAGAGGGUGACCGGCCACACUGGGACUGAGACACGGCCCAGACUCCGUACGGGAGG
RNAcentral lists this ribosomal RNA (231 nucleotides) under uncultured bacterium. RNAcentral's name for it is "partial 16S ribosomal RNA". It matches the Rfam family "Bacterial small subunit ribosomal RNA", at positions 118 to 348 of the family's 1533-position model. The record is from RNAcentral.